GCCCUUAUAGCUCAGUGGUAGAGCGCAGCACUUGUAUUCUUCUUUGAAGAUUCACUGCAAGUACAUGCUGAGGUCCAUCGUUCAAUCCGGUGUGGGGGCA
Molecule: transfer RNA, 100 nt
Filed under: Daldinia eschscholtzii
Lineage: Eukaryota; Fungi; Ascomycota; Sordariomycetes; Xylariales; Hypoxylaceae
Also listed under: 1 other name
Description: tRNA-Thr
Rfam family: tRNA
About the family: Transfer RNA (tRNA) molecules are approximately 80 nucleotides in length. Their secondary structure includes four short double-helical elements and three loops (D, anti-codon, and T loops).
Source: RNAcentral